Lolium rigidum is the source of this 793-nucleotide long non-coding RNA. RefSeq lists it as uncharacterized. The record is from RefSeq and is a predicted model, not a curated record. The transcript has 2 exons. NCBI's taxonomy places the organism in Eukaryota, Viridiplantae, Streptophyta, Magnoliopsida, Poales, Poaceae.
UUGUUGGCCGUCUGGCGGCGCCGCCUCACGCGUCCUGGUCGAAGGACCCUUCUUCUCCUCUUUUUUUUGCGAAUAUAGGGCCCUUCUUCUCCAACGUGCGGCUGACGCGUCCGUUAUCUUCGCCUUCGUCCCGAUCGCCUGUGCGUUCUUCAUUGCUGUGGCGACGUGACCUGGCACGCACGGCACGCACGCAGUUCAAGACAAACUUUGACCACUGAGAUGGAGGGAGUAAGUAUGAUGGUUUGAUAAUGACAGGUUUGGACGAUGGAUGGUAUUGGUGAAACAGAGGUGAGAGAAGAAUAUAUUACGAUGGUCAGUCAAAUAUUUGAUAGCGAAGAGCAAGGUUACGAGCACUAGAACAAAUAUGUGAAAGAGAAAGGGUUCAAUGCCAGAUUGGACUAGAAAGAGUAUGUGGCUGGGACCAAAGAAGUAAAAAAAGACAGUUUGUCUGUUCCAAAGAAGGUUACCGUUUGCAGAAGUAUUUUGAACCAACUGAGCAAAAGAGGAAGACAUGAAGUUUGGUUACAGUUUCUAUUUCCUGUAUGUACCGAGACCUGAAGUUUGGUUUUGCUGUACCGGGCCUUGAAGUUUGGUUACAUGUUCUAUUUCCUGUAAGGAUUGCUUUGUUCUGUAGACAAUAUUGCUUGUGUGUUACUGCAGCUAGUUCAAAAAUAUUGAGUGCAAUUGACCUUGUUGAUCUGUUGGUUUUGAUCAUAUUUGUAAUUCAAUUUCUGUAUGCCUGUUGACAACGAAGUGGAUACAGAGAGUGAAGCAAGGGUUUGCGAUUAUGAAA